RNAcentral lists this ribosomal RNA (492 nucleotides) under uncultured bacterium. RNAcentral describes it as "partial 16S ribosomal RNA". It matches the Rfam family "Bacterial small subunit ribosomal RNA", at positions 29 to 507 of the family's 1533-position model. The record is from RNAcentral.
AGUGAACGCUGGCGGUAGGCCUAACACAUGCAAGUCGAACGGCAGCACAGUAAGAGCUUGCUCUUACGGGUGGCGAGUGGCGGACGGGUGAGGAAUACAUCGGAAUCUACUUUUUCGUGGGGGAUAACGUAGGGAAACUUACGCUAAUACCGCAUACAACCUACGGGUGAAAGCAGGGGAUCUUCGGACCUUGCGCGAUUGAAUGAGCCGAUGUCGGAUUAGCUAGUUGGCGGGGUAAAGGCCCACCAAGGCGACGAUCCGUAGCUGGUCUGAGAGGAGGAUCAGCCACACUGGAGCUGAGACACGGUCCAGACUCCUACGGGCGGCAGCAGUGGGGAAUAUUGGCCAAUGGGCGCAAGCCUGCUCCAGCCAUACCGCGUGGGUGAAGAAGGCCUUCGGGUUGUAAAGCCCUUUUGUUGGGAAAGAACAGCAGCAGGUUAAUACCCCGCUGUUCUGACGGUACCCAAAGAAUAAGCACCGGCUAACUUCGUG